AAGAGAAAGGUGGAGCUGAAAGUCAGAGUCCCCCAGGUGGAGGUGGAUCCAGGGGUGGAGUCUGUCCAGCUGCCCUUCAACACAAUUCACCUGCCUAAAGAUGCUAAAGUGGAGUGGAAGGACAAAGACAACAAAAAGGUCCACGUGUAUGAGAACGGCUCUGACCAGCCUGAAGAACAGCACCAGGCUUACAGAGGACGAACUAAAAUGCAGAGAAACCUGCUGAAAACUGGAGACCUCAGUCUGACCCUGAAACACCCCACAGACUGGGACACAAAGACCUACAGAUGCACCGUCUACAACAGGUGGAAGAUGAUCCUAAUAAAGGCUCAAGUUAAGCUGAAAGUCAGAGUGUGUCAGGUGGAGGUGGAGGAGGGGGCGGAGUCUGUCCAGCUGCCCUUCAGAACCACACAAAACCUGCCUGAA
Molecule: non-coding RNA, 426 nt
Organism: Maylandia zebra (zebra mbuna)
Lineage: Eukaryota; Metazoa; Chordata; Actinopteri; Cichliformes; Cichlidae
Source: RefSeq, a predicted model, not a curated record